GAUGAACGCUGGCGGCGUGCCUAAUACAUGCAAGUCGAGCGAACAGACGAGGAGCUUGCUCCUCUGACGUUAGCGGCGGACGGGUGAGUAACACGUGGAUAACCUACCUAUAAGACUGGGAUAACUUCGGGAAACCGGAGCUAAUACCGGAUAAUAUAUUGAACCGCAUGGUUCAAUAGUGAAAGACGGUUUUGCUGUCACUUAUAGAUGGAUCCGCGCCGCAUUAGCUAGUUGGUAAGGUAACGGCUUACCAAGGCAACGAUGCGUAGCCGACCUGAGAGGGAGACAGGGCAGAAGGGGAGAGAGCGCCGGGAGAGACGAAUAGGGGAGGCACAAGUGGGGAAUGUUGGGAAAGGGUAUAAGGAUGGAAGGAGAAAUGUAGAGGGAAGGAAAAAGGUUUUAGGAACUUAAAAACAUGUGAAUAGGGAAGAACAAAAAGGUAAGAAAAAACGAACGGCCAGAAGGGAAGGAAAAAGAAAGAAAAGACAAGCCAAGUG
This 497-nucleotide ribosomal RNA is filed under the name uncultured bacterium. Its description in RNAcentral is "partial 16S ribosomal RNA". The stretch from base 20 to 341 matches the Rfam family "Bacterial small subunit ribosomal RNA", at positions 47 to 358 of the family's 1533-position model. The record is from RNAcentral.